UAAUCUCACUGUAACCCCCUCCAGGUCUCUGUUCUCCUACUAAUCUCACUGUAACCCCCCUCCAGGUCUCUGUUCUCCUACUAAUCUCACUACAACCCCCUCCAGGUCUCUGUUCUCCUACUAAUCUCACUGUAACCCCCCUCCAGGUCUCUGUUCUCCUACUAAUCUCGCUGUAACCCCCCUCCAGGUCUCUGUUCUCCUACUAAUCUCACUGUAAUCCCUCCAGGUCUCUGUUCUCCUACUAAUCUCACUGUAACCCCCUCCAGGUCUCUGUUCUCCUACUAAUCUCACUGUAACCCCCUCCAGGUCUCUGUUCUCCUACUAAUCUCACUGUAACCUCUUCCAG
This is a long non-coding RNA of Oncorhynchus tshawytscha (Chinook salmon), 346 nucleotides long. Lineage: Eukaryota; Metazoa; Chordata; Actinopteri; Salmoniformes; Salmonidae. The record is from Ensembl.